GAUGAACGCUGGCGGCGUGCCUAAUACAUGCAAGUCGAGCGAACAGAUGAGGAGCUUGCUCCUCUGACGUAGCGGCGGACGGGUGAGUAACACGUGGAUAACCUACCUAUAAGACUGGGAUAACUUCGGGAAACCGGAGCUAAUACCGGAUAAUAUAUUGAACCGCAUGGUUCAAUAGUGAAAGACGGUUUUGCUGUCACUUAUAGAUGGAUCCGCGCCGCAUUAGCUAGUUGGUAAGGUAACGGCUUACCAAGGCAACGAUGCGUAGCCGACCUGAGAGGGUGAUCGGCCACACUGGAACUGAGACACGGUCCAGACUCCUACGGGAGGCAGCAGUAGGGAAUCUUCCGCAAUGGGCGAAAGCUUGACGGAGCAACGCCGCGUGAGUGAUGAAGGUCUUCGGAUCGUAAAACUCUGUUAUUAGGGAAGAACAAAUGUGUAAGUAACUAUGCACGUCUUGACGGUACCUAAUCAGAAAGCCACGGCUAACUACGUG
This 496-nucleotide ribosomal RNA is filed under the name uncultured bacterium. RNAcentral's name for it is "partial 16S ribosomal RNA". It matches the Rfam family "Bacterial small subunit ribosomal RNA", at positions 28 to 507 of the family's 1533-position model. The record is from RNAcentral.